UACAUAUCUUUAAAAC
This 16-nucleotide small RNA is filed under the name Arabidopsis thaliana (thale cress). Its description in RNAcentral is "ATSL122930". The record is from RNAcentral. Lineage: Eukaryota; Viridiplantae; Streptophyta; Magnoliopsida; Brassicales; Brassicaceae.